ACGUAGGGGGCAAGCGUCAUCCGGAAUUAUUGGGCGUAAAGAGUGCGUAGGUGGUUUUUUAAGCGAGAGGUGAAAGGCAAUAGCUUAACUAUUGUAAGCCUUGCGAACUGGAAGACUUGAGUGCAGGAGAGGAAAGUGGAAUUCCUAGUGUAGCGGUGAAAUGCUUAGAUAUGAGAAGGAACACCAGUGGCGAAGGCAACUUUCUGGACUAUAACUGACACUGAGGCACGAAAGCGUGGGAAGCAAACAG
RNAcentral lists this ribosomal RNA (250 nucleotides) under uncultured prokaryote. RNAcentral's name for it is "partial 16S rRNA". It matches the Rfam family "Bacterial small subunit ribosomal RNA", at positions 525 to 775 of the family's 1533-position model. The record is from RNAcentral.